RNAcentral lists this long non-coding RNA (783 nucleotides) under Homo sapiens (human). RNAcentral's name for it is "non-protein coding lnc-RAP1GDS1-3:18". The record is from RNAcentral. Lineage: Eukaryota; Metazoa; Chordata; Mammalia; Primates; Hominidae.
GGAGGACCGCAGGCGAGAGGGAGAAGGAAGGGCGCCCGGGGAGCAGGCUGGCAGAGUGACCGGGAUUGAUGAGCGGCGCAGCUCUGGAGGGACGCGGGCGAGAGGGUCGCUCCUCGGGGAGAGGGCUGGCCUAUGAUAAGAGGAGAUGAAUGCCUGCUAAAGCGACCAGAAGGCUCUCAGUAAAAAGUAUUCACUAGGUAUCAAUAGAAUCUGCAAAACGAAGAGGUGCUUGAAAGAUGUGAAAGAGGAAACUUAAAGAGAAACCCAGAUGGUACAUCUCUCUUCCUGGCUAGAUAGAUGGAAUGUACAGCCAGAGGAUUGGAUGAGGUCAUCGACGGAGAGAAUGCAGAGAGAAUCCUGGGGCUCACCAACAUGAAGAAUUUGGGACAAGAAAGAAGAUCCAGCAGAGAAGACUGAAAGAAGGCAACUAAUGAAAUAGGAGAGAACCUGGAGAGCACAGAGUCUUAGAGGCCAAGAAAGUGGUUUAAUAUAAUCCGUAUCAAAGCAUUUGUGGUUUAUUUUUGUUAACUGACAAAAGGAUUCUAAAACAUACCUGAAAAGUAUAAUUCACACCUAGGAUAAUGGAUCAUUCUGUCACAUUGUUCCUUUUUCACAGCUGAUAUGAACAUGAUAUUUUCAUGACUUUGUAAAAUAAAAAUGGAAUCUUUCUAAUUUUUUUAAAAAAACUGCUUACUUAUGCAAGCCUUCUGUCUCUCACUGUAUAACCCCUCCACUUUUAUACGGGUCACACAUGUUUCUGUCACUUUCCUGGAGCCCUUGUAG